Molecule: ribosomal RNA, 255 nt
Filed under: uncultured bacterium
Lineage: Bacteria
Description: partial small subunit ribosomal RNA
Rfam family: Bacterial small subunit ribosomal RNA
Source: RNAcentral
AGGACGAACGCUGGCGGCGUGCUUAACACAUGCAAGUCGAGCGGAAAGGCCCUUCGGGGUACUCGAGCGGCGAACGGGUGAGUAACACGUGAGCAACCUGCCCUUAGCUCCGGGAUAGCUCCGGGAAACCGGAAUUAAAUACCGGAUACGACCACGGCCGACAUCUGCUGUGGUGGAAAGGAUUCCGGCUAAGGAUGGGCUCGCGACCUAUCAGCUAGUUGGUGGAGUAACGGCCCACCAAGGCGACGACGGGUA